RNAcentral lists this ribosomal RNA (1228 nucleotides) under Neoplerochila sp. RNAcentral describes it as "16S ribosomal RNA". The stretch from base 508 to 1228 matches the Rfam family "Archaeal large subunit ribosomal RNA", at positions 1423 to 2783 of the family's 2987-position model. Lineage: Eukaryota; Metazoa; Arthropoda; Insecta; Hemiptera; Tingidae. The record is from RNAcentral.
UUUAGGUAAGUAAUAAUUUAUUUUAAUUAUCUUUUUAAAAAAAAUAUUUUUAUUUAUAGUAUAAAGUUUAGAACUAAUUUUUAAUAAUUUUAUAUUUAACUGUAAAGGAUUUUAUAUUUCUUAUUGUAAGAAAUUUUUGUUAAAUGUACCUUUUGUAUCAGGGUUUAUUAAUUUUGAAUUUAAAUAUUUUUAAUUUUCCCGAAAGUUAAAGAUUUAUAUAAUAAUGGUUAAGUAAAUUUCAAAUUACUAAUAAAUUUUUAUAUAGUUGUUAUAUGCUUUUCAAUUUAAUUAUAUCUGGUUUUUACUAAAUUAAUUUAAUUAAUGUUAAGUUUUAAGUUAAAUCUUUUAUUUAAAAUAAAAUAACUUUAACUAAUUAUCAAGGGGAUAAGCUCUUGAUAAUAUUUAUAAUUUUUUUUCUAUUAAAUAUCUUAAUUAGGAUUAGUAUUGUCUUAAAUUUUUUAUAAAAAAGGUUAUUUAAAUGGUUGAUUUUUUUAAUUUAAAAAAUUAGUGAAAUGUUUAUUUUAAUUUUUUAAAUUAAGUAAUAAUGAUAAAAUUAGUAAUAUUUAAUAAUUGAUUUAAGAAUUCGGCAAAUUUUGUUCUCGAAUGUUUAAUAAAAACAUUUCUUUUUGAUUAAAAAAAUAAAAAGUAUAACCUGCUCAAUGAAGUUUAAAUAGCCGCGAUUAAAUCGUGCGAAGGUAGCAUAAUAAUUUGUCUUUUAAUUAAGGUCUUGAAUGAAUGGUUGAACGAAGAAUUAACUUUUUUAAUCAAUUUAUUUUAAAUUUUAUUUUUUAGUUAAAAAGCUAAAAUAAAUUUAUGGGACGAUAAGACCCUAUAGAAUUUAAGUAAAAUAACUAAAUUUUAAAAAACUGUUUAUUAUUUUAAAUUUAGUUAUUUUACUUGAGUUGGGGUGACUUUUAAAAUAAAUUAACUUUAAUUUAUAUUUUUCAUUAAUUAAUGAUUUUUUGAUCCUGCUUUGCAGAUUAGUAGAUUAAAUUACCUUAGGGAUAACAGCGUUAUUUUCUUGGAGAGUUCACAUUAAUAAGGAAGUUUGCGACCUCGAUGUUGGAUUAAAAUUAAGCUGUGGGGGAGUUUCUAUAGUUUUAAGUCUGUUCGACUUUUAAAAUUUUACAUGAUCUGAGUUAAGACCGGCGUGAGCCAGGUUGGUUUCUAUCUAUAAAUUUUAAUAACACCUUAGUACGAAAGGACCAGGUGUUACAAAUAAUUUUGU